GAAUGAUGGUGACCUAAACCCUCACCAGAGUAACAAUUGGAGGGCAAGUCUGGUGCCAGCAGCCGCGGUAAUUCCAGCUCCAAUAGCGUAUAUUAAACUUGUUGCAGUUAAAAAGCUCGUAGUUGAAUUUCUGCGUUAUCGAGUUAUUGACUCUUGUCUUUAAUCGAUUUCGCUUUUGGGAUUUAUCCCUUUUUACUUUGAGAAAAUUAGAGUGUUUCAAGCAGACUUUUGUCUUGAAUACUUCAGCAUGGAAUAAUAGAGUAGGACUUUGGUUCUAUUUUGUUGGUUUUUGAACCUUAGUAAUGGUUAAUAGGAACGGUUGGGGGCAUUCGUAUUUAACUGUCAGAGGUGAAAUUCUUAGAUUUGUUAAAGACGAACUACUGCGAAAGCAUUUGCCAAGGACGUUUCCAUUAAUCAAGAACGAAAGUUAGGGGAUCGAAGACGAUCAGAUACCGUCGUAGUCCU
RNAcentral lists this ribosomal RNA (465 nucleotides) under Babesia venatorum (nom. ined.). Its description in RNAcentral is "SSU rRNA". It matches the Rfam family "Eukaryotic small subunit ribosomal RNA", at positions 512 to 1027 of the family's 1831-position model. The record is from RNAcentral. Lineage: Eukaryota; Apicomplexa; Aconoidasida; Piroplasmida; Babesiidae.